AAAGGAGAGGAGAAAGCUCUUGAAUGUUUGGUCACUUGGGGAAGAAAAUUGAAGGUAAGUUCAUGGUAGUUUGCUUCUAUCUUGAUGUUCAUGAGUUCUUCUUGAUUCUACCUUAACUCUUGAAGCAUAUUUUGGUUUUUAGUUGUGCUGUGAGCAUUUGGUCAUGAAUUAAAAUGAAGGAAAUGGUUGUUGUUUCAUGUUCUUUUGAUGAAAAAUGGAAGAUAGGUGAAGUUGAGCCAAACAAAUGAACAUGCAUGUGCCUUAAAUGCUAAAGGGAAAAAUUGGCUAACAUGUUGUGCUUUAAAAUGAUGAAAUGGAGAUUAUACUUAAGUAAAAUCAUAGAUAUGUGAUGAUUGAUUGGUGAUAUACAUGUUUAAAUAACAAGCAUGCAAAUUAGGUGUGAAAGAGUGAUUUGGUAAUAAUAAAUCUGCUUGGGACAGCAGCAGUAACGUGACUUUGGAAAAUCACCAUAAAUUGUGGGAGAUGAUUUAGAAGCUGCAUAAAUUAUGUAAUUAAAGCUUAAUGAGUCUAGUUUCAAAUGGACUAAACGAGAACAUAUUUUGAAUUCUGUACAAUGAGAAAUUUGAUUCGUAAUGAAGAGUGGUCAGAUUAGUCAAAUAGUGAAACAUGGGAAACUUUAAGAAAAAUCUGGUAUUGAUUGGCUAAACCAAAAAUUCUGAAAAUUUUAUGGAUAGAAUAUAUAUGAGUCUAUUUUCAGGUAAAAUUAACGGAACUUGAUUUGGAGUUUCGUAGCUCCAAUUAUAAACGAUUUAGUGACUGUUGUUCAGGAAGAUAGCUUGCAGUGAGAUUAUGAUUAUGUGGUAAACAUCGACAAAAAUUUGUUAAUGAGUUGCUUAUUGAUUUCUUAUAAGCUUACUAUGAUCUGUAGGUGUGGUUGGCCGAAUAUUGUAAGGGGUUAAUACGUAGUUUGUAUUUGAAUAGUUAGAUUAACGUGUUAGUAAUCCAAUUGUAGGCGGUUCGUGUGUGGAUCUCGUCAGCAUAUCGUCACAAACAGGUGUGUAACUAACACCCUCUUUCUUAGUCUGGAUCGGCAAAAGUCGAAAAGCCGAAAUGCCGAAAAUCGGUAUUUUGUAGAUUUGCGAGUGUGCGAAUGCUCGUGAGG
This 1123-nucleotide long non-coding RNA is filed under the name Gossypium barbadense (sea-island cotton). RNAcentral's name for it is "long non-coding RNA (GBAR_LNC009771)". The record is from RNAcentral. Lineage: Eukaryota; Viridiplantae; Streptophyta; Magnoliopsida; Malvales; Malvaceae.